Long non-coding RNA from Ailuropoda melanoleuca (giant panda), 6447 nucleotides. RefSeq lists it as uncharacterized. The transcript is spliced from 3 exons. Lineage: Eukaryota; Metazoa; Chordata; Mammalia; Carnivora; Ursidae. The record is from RefSeq and is a predicted model, not a curated record.
GAGAUCAAAAGGCCCAAACGCCUGCAGGAAGCUAAGCUGUGAACCACUGUGGACGGCCGGCCGUGGGGAGACCCUCUGGCUGGUCCACAGCCCACGCCCUACAAACUGGGGAAGCCGCCUUGAGGCUGGGGGUGCUCCCUUUCUGUCAAAGGCUCCUGCCACCGGUAGACCUCAGUUUCUCCAGCUGUCAAGGAGAGUCCGUGAACGUGGCCCUCCCUUCCAGGCCUGGUGGGGGGAGCCAGGAGACGCUCGCUGGGCUGGCUCCCUGCCACUGCUGAGUCCUGCCGCCAGAGGGCAUGCGGCCCUCCUCCGAGCCCCCGCCCGCCCUGUGCUCCGCGGGGCCCCACAGCAAGGCGGUUGGCUGCUAUGCAGGUCAGAUGGGUUAGGGCUCCACUGCGUGCACGGAGGGCUGGGGACCCUACCUGGCCAUUGCCUGCAAGGCCAGGGGCUCCUUGUCCCCCGGGGCAGUUCGGGCCGUCAGAGGCAGGCUUACAGGAGGGAGAGCGAGCUGUAGGUGGGGCAGGGCAAAGAUGUGGAGGGGUGUGCGUGUUGGCUGUGGACGCAGCUCCCCCUCAGGGCCCCUCCUCUGCUUGGACCCUUCCCCUGGCUCCCUGGAAGUAGAUGGGAGUGAAGUUCCCACCAGACCAGCUCUGCCUGGCAGGGGAUUCUAGAGACCGUGGGAGGUGGCUGGCUGAGACGGGCAGGGAUGGCCUGAAAGCAGGGGCCAGGGCAUGUGGGCAGGACUGGACCAUGUGCAUGGAGGUGUUGGGACUGACCACCCAGCCACGGGUACCCAAAAUGGCUGGGAUGGGGCCAUCGGGGCUCAGCCCAGACACCAAGGAGCCAGGGACAGUGUGGCAUCUUGGGGCUCAGGGUGGGCGCCCCCCCCCGCCCCUGCCAUGUGAGCAAGGCAGAGAUGAGCCAGGCUUUUCAGUCUGGUGUUGGAGCUGCAGGGAACCCUGAAGAGAAAUGGCCUGGGGGGGGUAGCAUGUGAAAGUGGCACUGGAGCCAAGAGAUGGGUCUGGGUAGGGGUCCCACAUCUUGAGAACCGACCUGGGGGCACACAAUGUCCUGGAGGGGGAUGGGAAAGACGACCCCUCCUCUAAGUGGCCCAGCUGCGGGUGAGAAGAUGUGACCAGCCUUAACAUUAGGGCUCCCUGCCCAAUCUCACUGACCGGGACCAGAUGCCCUCUCUGAUGAUGCUGAUGAGGGCCAGGUGAGACAUCCCUGGGGCCCCAUGGCGAGGAUCACAGGACCACAGCCAAGUUCGGGGCUGACCCCUGCGCUUGGGGCCCCGAAGCCUGGCAAGUGACAGCCCCUUGGCAAGGGGAGGUUAAGGUGACAGAGAUGGGACAAUGGGCGUCAUCCUGGUCCCUUGAGAGGCUGCAGCCUGGAGGCCCAGGUGGAAAGAGACCCACUCAGGCAGAUGUGGGGAGUGAGAAGCGCAGGUGGAGGACCCCGUGGUCGAGAUGGUCUCUCUUUGAACAUGCUGAGAACAAUCUGGACCUCCCUGCCAUGUACCAUGUCUGGGAGAGAAUGUGGGAGGGCCCCUGAUGCCCUCUGCCCCUCCCCCAGGAACCCCCAUUGCAGGGCCCAGCUGAGGGUCAGUACUGUGACCCCCAUACCCCAGGCCUCCAUGUCACUCGGAUUGUAGCAGCGUGCCUGCUUUUAAACAGCUUCACCUCACCUGGUGAAAUCACUCCUAUGGGGCUUGGGGUCCCCCCAAAAGGGUCUUCCUUCCUGGGCCUUCCACCAGGUGGGGCAUCUUCUGGGCCUCGCUCCCCCGGCCCAGACUGCGGGGAGAUCUGGAGCCCCCGCUCAAGGCAGUUGCCCAGCAGCUGUUGGGUGGUUGAGCCUUUAGGAGCACCAGAAAGUUCCAUCCCACCGUGAUGGGGUGAGGAUCUUAUAGGAUGGGGAGUCCUCGAACGGGUAGAAGCUGUCCCAAGCAUCAGGGGCAGCUGGUGGGGGCCCCAGACCAGGGGUAGAUGGUGUUGGGGGUUGAGAAAACACUGUCCCGGAGCUGAGUGUUUUCGUAGAACGAGAGGAAAGACAGGAUGUCACAUGCCUCCUGCCCACCUUUGAGAGACAGGAAGCCCAGCCUCCUGUGGUGUCAGCCUGCCGGGCUUGCAGGGUGGACCUUUCCUUGAGGAGCUGUGGGUCUGGGCCGGCUCCCCACGGGCAGUGCUCCAGUGCCAUGGGGUGCCCCGCAGGGUCACAGAGCAGGCAGGCCAUCUCCCUCAGCCUCUGGGAGCUGUUCCCAGAUCCCGCAGCAGGCCUCUUCAUGCCCAUAGGUGAUGGCCAGGAGGCUGGCUGCUGGGCAGCAUGUUGGGGGCAGUGGGUACCUCCUGGCUUUGGCUAGGCUAUGGCCUGGAAGCCUCCUCAGAGACCCAUGGGUCCCAGGUGGCCCCAUCUUGCCCAGAGCGCCUGGGGACCCCAGUGUCCAGCUGGUUGAUCUCUUGUCAUAGCAGACAUUCCCUCUCCCCAGAGCACUAGCUUUGGGGACAGGAUGGCUCCUAGGAGCCCACAACGGGGUCUCUUCGCUCCACCCCCAGGUCUUCUGGUAUCUUCCUCUGUGGUCCCCAGGGAAGCCUUAUCUUUGACUCAAGAAGCCCUGAGACUGUGCUGAGCUGCGUGCACAGGGAGGGGGGCAGGCGGCUGCUUGCGUGCAGGCCCUGGGACCUGAGGCCCAGUGUGUGGACUGCCCUGGCCAUCUGCUGUGUGUCACUGGCUUUCCCCGUUCCUGUUCCCUUUUGUCAAAUGGGGAGAUGCCACCCCCCUGCAGGCCUUCAGCCUAACCCUCCAACUGCCCUGGGGCUGCUCUGGUCUGAACGGUGGGGGCAGUGCUCCCAGUGCUUGUCCAGCUGGACCUGGCGGCAACUCCCCGCUUCCCCCGGUGUUUAGGGUCCCUCCUUCCCGGGCCAUGUGUCCAGUCGCCUCACUGACUUCUCCGUGGUAGGGUUGGCUUUGUUAAAGGGGGUGGCAGGGCUUCGUGGUUGACAGAAAGGGGCAGGGGCAGGCGCAGGGCACGGGGUGGGGGUGUGGGCCCCAGGGGCUGUGGGAGCCCCAGGCUGAGGGGUGUCCCCCGAGCAGGCAGACUACCUGCCCAUGGCCAGUCCGUCCCCUGGGAGACCAGGAAGGCUUGGGGAGGUCCACCCAAUAGCCGGGUGAUCAGAAAGUCUGCAAAGGGAUGGUGGCCCUCAGUCAGGGGACCGGGGGCAGGAAAGAAAAGGGGAAGAAGGGGGAGGAGGGAAAGAAAAGUGAUAAAAAAAAAAAAAAAAAGGUAAGUGGCAGGUGGAGAGGGCUGGCUGAGGGCUCUAGAGGCCUGAGCAGUGGCAGCAGCCACCAGGGUGGGGGGCCUGGGCCCACCGGGACCCCAGCCGCACCGGUGGCUGGACGCACAGGAACCCCCGGCCUAUGUUGGGGCUGAGCCCUCACUGCGGGGGGGGGGGGACUAGAGCUGGGCCUGGCUUUCAGGUGGCUGUGGGCGUUUGUUUGCCAAACCGGUGGUGCCGGUGGUGGGGAGAAGAUGCUUUCUUUACCAGCUGUUACCUGAUUUCGGUGUGAAGCGCAGACACCCGGAUGCGGGUGCAGCUUCUUCUGCUGUUGCCUGUGUGGGCGGUAGGUUCAGAGGCCGGCGCUGCAGGCCUGACCAGGACUGGGGGCAGAGGUUAGGCUGGUGGGGGCAUUGCAGGCCCACAGCUCCUUCCGGCUCUCCCAGCAGCCCCCAGCCAGGGGGGAGCCACAGCCUGGGGGGGGCCAGGUGUCUGCAGCAGCUCAGCUUCGUGCCUGCAGGGCAGGCCGUGAUGGGGCGGGUGGACUGCUCGGCAGCCCCCAGCCCUCGAGCCCUUGGCCAGGGUUGAGCACCACCGCAGUGUCCAGCUGAGGUCCUUCUCCCCUCCAGGACGUCUGCUUGGGCUCUCACACCCAGAGGGCCACGACCUUCACCCCCUUCUCUUCUCGGCUCAGGCCAGCCCAGCCUUGACGUUGGCUUAACCCUUGCAGGUCGGCCACAGCGUCCGGACAGACUGUUCCCAUGGCCCUCGGCCUCCUGCCCCAUGCACUGCUGUCCUGAGCUGGUUCACAGCCCGCUGCCCCGGUCCCCAGCCAGAGGGACCCUGUUAUCCUCUCGGUCGGGUCACAUGCUCCCAGACCUCCCAGACUGAAUGUGUGACCUGGCUCCCCGUCCUCUGCGCCACCUGUCCUACCUUCCCCUGUCCCUGCACCCUCGCCUCUCACCUCUAGCCAGGUUCCCAGACACAUGAGCUCCUACCCAGCACCUCCAGCCUCCCGACCCUUGCCUGGACAUUGUCUCCUGGUGUCCCCACACCAGCCCCUUCAGCACGGCAGCCCCCUCUGUUCCCUGCCCCUGGAGGCCCUUCCUGCACCCUGGCUUUCUGACACCUGGAGUAUUCCCUUCGGAUAUCCCUCCUGUCUCCCCGGGAAUGCCGGCUCCUUGGGGACAGGAACUGGAGUUUGUUUACUUGCCCCUGUACCCUGCGCAGAGUGGCCCCUGGGUCAGGAUUGUUGGGUGCACAUAAAAGUCAGCCACUCACAUAGAAGGACAGCAAACCGCACGGUUCCACGUGUGGACCCCCACACCAGUCUCAGCCACACGGUCAUCCACGGGGCAUGGCCCGGUCCGUGGCUCCUGCUGUGCGCCCAAACUGGGUGUCCCCGUCCCUGCGGGGCCCAGAGCUAACCCCGCUGCAAAUCUGCUGUGUAGCAGGCUGCAGACCCCCACGGUGGGGGGUCAGCUCAAACCCCACAGUGGACCCCCAGGGAAGCUUCGGGAUGUCUGCGACCUGGGAUCAGUGCUGCCCCUCAGCCCUCUGGACCCCACCUCGCCUCCUGCCACAGAAAUGACCGCCCCGCUUUACAGUGCCUAGAGGCUGUGCGUGGGGGCAGCAUCUCCAGAGGCCGCCCCGCCGCCGCCCCAGGCAGGUGUGUGCGCAGCUCUGACCCUCAGGCCUCAGCCCUGCCGUUCAGACGUGCUGGGCACUUUGCUGAAGACGCUCGCACCGCAGUGCUGCAGACCCCGCCUCCUUCCGCUGUGCUGCCGUCAGGCGGCCUUGGCUUGGCCUGGAGCCCCUCUGGGGCCCGGCUAGGGCCAACUUGAUCUGGGCAUACAUGAUUUGGCUUUAGUGGGGUCUACUCAGGGGCAUGCAGUCUCUCCAAGAGCGAAGAAGUUUUUGCUAUUUGGGAGGGGGAUGGUAGACUGGGGUGAAUGGAGCUCCCCCCCAACCAAAAUCCAUGCCCACACAGAACCUGUGAAUGGGACCUCAUUCGGAGAUUAGGGUCUUUGCAGACAUAGUCAAGUUAGGAUGAGGCCAUGUUGGAUGGCCCUAAAUCCAGUACGACGGUGUCCUUGCAAGAAGAGAGACAUGUGGACACAGGAGGCGCCGGGGAGACGUCCACGUGGUGACAGAGGACACAGACCACGGAAUGCAGAUCGCAGGCAGCCGCCAGCAGUGGGACAAGCCUGGAGCACGUGCUCCCUCAGAUCCUCCAGGAGGAGCCGACUGUCUUGAUUUUGAUAUUCUGGCCUCCAGAAUUGGAGCCCCUCUCAGUCUGCAGCGGCUCAGGUUCCACUGGGCUGGACUUGCUGCUUUUCCCUGGGAGCACUUACACCGCCCUGUGUUUUCCACCUUUACCCAGGACCAUGUGUAAGGCUGUCUCCCGAACCACACCCAGGGUGCAGGGGGACAGGGUGAGGACUCGGGUGGAGCGCAGGCAUGUGGCCACAUGGCCCUCAGGCUGGGCCAUGAUAGGGGUCCCUGCAGACUGUCCAGGGGACCUCACAACCCUCUCUGCACCUUCUCAGUGUGCAGGGCCGAGCUCAUCAGGGCACACUCUCCUGCGUGCACCCGUCCCCUCCCUGCUCUCCCAUCGGUGGCCUCUUGAGGUUCAAAUGCACCAUCCUACGCAUCCAGUCAAGAACCCGAUGACAGUAAAUGAUCAUUAGAAAAAAAGUUUCACCUGUGGUUUCUACUUGAUGAGUGUGGAGUUUUGAUCAAUGGGACGAUUCAGAUAUGAAGGGGCGCACUAAAACCUCAGGUUGAAGUGGUUGAUUGUCAACUUCUCCCAGUGCUUCUGUCAUUCCUGGCUUUACAUAUUUUUCUGUUUAUUUUUAGUUCCUAUGUAUCCGCAUUGGUUCUAUAGCUUCGUUCUAUUGUUGCUUUUACCAGUAUUUCUAUUUUGUCAGAAAAUACGAUUGAUAAUUCCAGCUUUCUUUUGGUUCGUGCUGCUUUUUACGUUUCCCACUCUUUCAUUUCCAACCUAUUGGUGUCUUUUUGUUUAAAGUGUUGUGUCUCGCAGACCAUAUGUUGUUGAAUCUUUUCCUUUAAAACCAGUUUGACACUAUCUUUUAAUUGGCGAGUUUGACCCAUUUACAUUUAUUGUGAAAGUGUUUAUUGUAUAAUUAUUAUUUUAAAAGAUUUUACUUAUUUG